UAGGUUAUAUGGUAACUAUAAAGUAAGGUAAGCAUGUGAUAUAGAUUGCUUGUUUGGUUUGCCAGGCCAAAAAGAACCCAGACAAUUUUUUUAACCCAACUCUAAGAAGCUUUGAUAUGGAAUGAAAAUGGAGGGGAAAAGGCCUCUGAGAUGAGCUCUCAGACAGAAGGGCUGAACCAACUUACCCAAACCUACAGGGGAGUUUUAAACUCCACCCCUAAAUAAGAGCAAAUGGAAGAGUCCACCCAAGAGCAGCCAAACCAGGAAAUGAGCAGAGGAGAGAAAAGCUAAGGAGCCUGGGUUUCAGCAAUAGAGUUAAGGAAGCAGACACAGCUUGUGUAAGACAUGUCACGUGAUACCGAAUAGGGGAAGAGGAGCCAUGAUCAGCUGCUACAUGGUCCUGUAAAAGAUGAAAAAAAGUGAUGACUGGGCCCUUCCAUUACAGCCAUCCAAACAAGCUGGAUUGGCCAAUAGGAUCCGACCGCUCUGAAUCCGUGCACAAGCCUGGUAACCCACUAAACACACAUUUUAAAAUUC
Anolis carolinensis (green anole) is the source of this 537-nucleotide long non-coding RNA. RefSeq lists it as uncharacterized. The record is from RefSeq and is a predicted model, not a curated record. Lineage: Eukaryota; Metazoa; Chordata; Lepidosauria; Squamata; Anolidae. The transcript is spliced from 2 exons.